CCGCGACCCCGCGUGACGGUUC
RNAcentral lists this microRNA (22 nucleotides) under Petromyzon marinus (sea lamprey). RNAcentral describes it as "pma-miR-4556". The record is from miRBase by way of RNAcentral. Lineage: Eukaryota; Metazoa; Chordata; Hyperoartia; Petromyzontiformes; Petromyzontidae.